GCAGCCAUCAUUUAAAGAAAGCGUAAUAGCUCACUGGUCGAGUCGGCCUGCGCGGAAGAUGUAACGGGGCUAAACCAUGCACCGAAGCUGCGGCAGCGACGCUUAUGCGUUGUUGGGUAGGGGAGCGUUCUGUAAGCCUGUGAAGGUGUACUGUGAGGUAUGCUGGAGGUAUCAGAAGUGCGAAUGCUGACAUAAGUAACGAUAAAGCGGGUGAAAAGCCCGCUCGCCGGAAGACCAAGGGUUCCUGUCCAACGUUAAUCGGGGCAGGGUGAGUCGACCCCUAAGGCGAGGCCGAAAGGCGUAGUCGAUGGGAAACAGGUUAAUAUUCCUGUACUUGGUGUUACUGCGAAGGGGGGACGGAGAAGGCUAUGUUGGCCGGGCGACGGUUGUCCCGGUUUAAGCGUGUAGGCUGGUUUUCCAGGCAAAUCCGGAAAAUCAAGGCUGAGGCGUGAUGACGAGGCACUACGGUGCUGAAGCAACAAAUGCCCUGCUUCCAGGAAAAGCCUCUAAGCAUCAGGUAACAUCAAAUCGUACCCCAAACCGACACAGGUGGUCAGGUAGAGAAUACCAAGGCGCUUGAGAGAACUCGGGUGAAGGAACUAGGCAAAAUGGUGCCGUAACUUCGGGAGAAGG
This 633-nucleotide ribosomal RNA is filed under the name Escherichia coli. Its description in RNAcentral is "partial 23S ribosomal RNA". It matches the Rfam family "Bacterial large subunit ribosomal RNA", at positions 1112 to 1746 of the family's 2925-position model. Lineage: Bacteria; Pseudomonadati; Pseudomonadota; Gammaproteobacteria; Enterobacterales; Enterobacteriaceae. The record is from RNAcentral.